UAUUUCUUUAUCAGAUGGUGUACCCUUUUCUUCUUCUUUCUCUUUUUCAACUCAUCCUUCAUCGGCUACCUCACAAUCCUGUUUGACUUCUCUUUCAAUUUUCGUAUCUUUAUGACUAUCUAACAUAUUUUCGUAGAAAUCCUCACCAGAUCUCAGUUUUAAUAUUAAUUGGCUAGAUACUUGACCAAGUUGCAUCUCU
RNAcentral lists this long non-coding RNA (199 nucleotides) under Lathyrus oleraceus (garden pea). RNAcentral's name for it is "Pisum sativum (pea) long non-coding RNA (PSAT_LNC017571)". Lineage: Eukaryota; Viridiplantae; Streptophyta; Magnoliopsida; Fabales; Fabaceae. The record is from RNAcentral.